This is an RNA transcript of Ananas comosus (pineapple), 1489 nucleotides long. It is a transcript of the gene named N-acetyltransferase 9-like protein, with no coding region annotated. The transcript has 3 exons. NCBI's taxonomy places the organism in Eukaryota, Viridiplantae, Streptophyta, Magnoliopsida, Poales, Bromeliaceae. The record is from RefSeq and is a predicted model, not a curated record.
AGGCGAGUGCACCCUCUGUUGUAGAGCAGAGUAUCCGACCGGAGGCGAGUGCAUCCCUUGACUUGAGUACGCAGUUGGCUGCCUUAACCGAGGUGACGAGGCGGUCGGGGGAGCUGUUGGAGAGGAUGUGUGCGAGAUUAGCCCCGCCGCAGAAUACAGCACCAGAGCAGCCAGUUCCACCCCCGACUACUCCAGCAGCAGCACCGUCUACAGUAGUACCACCACCAGUGGCCGUUCCUCCAGCGCCAGUUGCGCCGGUUGGUGAGGCAUCGCAGAUGAUCGAGGCUGAGCAGGAGCGGAUGACUGAGAGACUCGCCCGCUUUCAUCAUUUCGAUCCACCGACCUUUGGCGGUAGAUGCUCAAAGGCCUGGGUUGUCGAGGACUGGGUCAGCACGAUGGAGAAGUUAUUUGAGGAUUUUUUUCAUUCCUGAGCGGGAGCAGGUACAUCUAGGAGUUCACUGCUUGACUGGGGAUGCCCUUGCAUGGUGGCGGAGGGUGAGACGAGAUUACAGGUUGGUGACUUUGCAGAUGAGCUGGAACGAGUUUUGUGGAAUGCUGUAUGGGAUGUAUUUUCCCAACAGUGUGAAACAGAAGUUCGAGGAGGACCUGAAGAGGAUUCAGCAUGGGGAUCGGUCGGUGCAGGAUUAUAUUCGGGAGUUCACCCGACUCCUGAACUGUGUGCCGUUUGUGGCUAGAGACGAGACGCACCGGGUGUAUCCGUUUGAGCAGGGUUUGAGGCCCGAGAUCUUCAGGUUCGUUCAGGCACAGAGGUUGAGGACCUUGGAUGUGUCCAUGGAGCAGGCACUUUGGGUUGAGAGAGGUGAUGCUUCGAUUCGUGAGCUAGGCAGCGGGGCGGAGCAGGACAGGAAGCGCCCAGUGCGAGACGACGGAGGACAGUCGAGCAGUAGGCGUCCGCCGAGACCUCCACGAUCGCGUUCUCAGGGUCGUGGGUUCUCGGGGCGUCAGCGUUCUGGGGGACCUCAGCAGCAGAGGCAGCCACAGGGGUUACCACCGUGUGUGAUUUGUGGGGGACCACACUGGGCCCGACAGUGUGAGCAGCGUGAGGGCCGGUGUUUUGGAUGUGGACAGCUAGGGUAUAUGAGGUCAGCUUGUCCCCAAGCAGCAUCACCAGCACCAUCUACAACAUCAGCACUGCCAACACUCCAGCAGACUUACGGGGCACCAUCGGGUCACCGCCAGGAGGACAGGGCGUCUGUGCCGCGUCAGAGUGAGUGGCGACAGCAGACUCCGAGUGGCAGGGUCUAUGCAGCCCAAGUGGAGGAUUCGACAGCAGCCAACCGAGUGGUGGCAGCCGGGGAAAGGGGCUUGGUGAAGAAUCCGUCUUGAUGAUGAUGGCAUUUGCAGUUGAAAACUACAGAAUUCAAACUUUCCGUGCAAAAAUUGGAGAAUCGAACACAGCAUCACUUAAGCUCUUUAGGAAAUUGGGCUUCUUGGAUGCUUCUUACAGUGAAGUAUUUAAGGAGGUAGG